GUUGUUUUGGAGGUUUGUAGACUUUUGCUAUAUUUUUGCUCCCUUUAAGAGGGAAACGCAUGGACAGGAGGUGAGCUGUGAGUGAGGUGGUGCUUUUCCUGCAAGAAAGGGGAUUUUGUGUGAGGUGUUAGAAAGAGUUUGCUGCAGCAGUGACACGUAGGAGGGUGACAGAGGAAGAUAUUCUGGGGUUUUUGGAGAGGUGCAGAGGAGGCUUGGACGGCAAGAAAGUAGGCAAGGAGAGGGAGAGCAAGCAAAGGAGUGGGAGAGCCAGAGGAGGGGAAACUGAGCAAGCUUUGCUUGAGAAACUUAGAGUACCUCAUAUUGGGUGGAAUGCUUUACACACAGUGAAAGACUCCGAAAUUUUGGAUGAUAUUGGAAACCUUCAUGUCUAUUUUGUUCACUCGUACCAUGCCUGGAGAGAACCGUGCUCGUCUUAUGAAAUUGGCAAAGUGUUUAGUGGAAUCUACUUUGUUCCCAAAGUUUCCAUGAAGCUUAAAGCAUGCCCAGUUAAUGUUCCCAAGGAUAUGCAACAGCUUCAACCCACAGCAGGCAGCAUUUGUUUUGUAAAAACUGAUAGACUCAAGAGGGGCUUGCAGAGUAUGGGAUCAUCUGAUUAUCCAAUGGGCGAAAUUAUAAGUGGAGAAAAUUCCAGGGAGGUGGAUGAAGUAGCAGCAAGACAGUGUGAGCAUGCACUUUUGUAGAAUACAAUGGACAAAAAGUUAAAUGCAGCUACUGUUCCGACAGAAUUCAUUAAUAAAAACAGAUUUGUAUAGUACCCAGACUGGAGGAAGAAAGUAGUUUUUGCCUUGUAUGUUGGAAUUUUUAUAAAGGAUAUUAUUAUUUUUUCCUUUGAAGACAUGUUAUUUCUUAAUAAAUACAACUUAUUUUAAAGAAUGUAUUUUGUAUUUAAAAGA
Vitis vinifera (wine grape) is the source of this 914-nucleotide long non-coding RNA. RefSeq lists it as uncharacterized. The transcript is spliced from 2 exons. The record is from RefSeq and is a predicted model, not a curated record. NCBI's taxonomy places the organism in Eukaryota, Viridiplantae, Streptophyta, Magnoliopsida, Vitales, Vitaceae.